GCAGAACGAACGCUGGCGGCGCGUCUUAAGCAUGCAAGUCGAACGGCAAGUCAAGUGCUUGCACUUGGCCUAGAGUGGCGGAUUGGUGAGUAACACGUGGGUGACCUACCCUUGAGAUGGGGAUAGCCGUUAGAAAUAGCGGAUAAUACCGAAUACGCUCGCGACCCUUUGGGGAUGCGAGGAAAACAGGCUACGGCCUGGCUCGAGGAUGGGCCCGCGUCCCAUUAGCUAGUUGGUGAGGUAAAUGCUCACCAAGGCGACGAUGGGUAUCCGGCCUGAGAGGGUGUACGGACACAUUGGGACUGAGAUACGGCCCAAACUCCUACGGGAGGCAGCAGCUAAGAAUAUUCCGCAAUGGACGAAAGUCUGACGGAGCGACGCCGCGUGGAUGAAUAAGGCCGAAAGGUUGUAAAGUCCUUUUGCCGGUGAAGAAUAAGUGUGGUAGGGAAUGACCGCAUGAUGACAUUAGUCGGUGAAUAAGCCCCGGCUAACUACGUGCCAGCAGCCGCGGUAACACGUAGGGGGCAAGCGUUGUUCGGAAUUAUUGGGCGUAAAGGGCAUGUAGGCGGUUUGGUAAGCCUGAUGUGAAAUCCUGCAGCUUAACUGUAGAAUUGCAUUGGGUACUGCUAAACUUGAA
RNAcentral lists this ribosomal RNA (637 nucleotides) under uncultured Treponema sp. RNAcentral describes it as "bacterial SSU rRNA". It matches the Rfam family "Bacterial small subunit ribosomal RNA", at positions 24 to 646 of the family's 1533-position model. Lineage: Bacteria; Pseudomonadati; Spirochaetota; Spirochaetia; Treponematales; Treponemataceae. The record is from RNAcentral.